GAUGAAGAACGUAGCGAAAUGCGAUACGUAGUGUGAAUUGCAGAAUUCAGUGAAUCAUCGAAUCUUUGAACGCACAUUGCACCUCUCGGUAUUCCGGGAGGUAUGCCUGUUCGAGCGUCAUUUGUACCCUCAAGCUCUGCUUGGUGUUGGGUGUUUGUUCCGCCUCUGUGUGUGAACUCGCCUCAAAACAAUUGGCAGCCGGCGUACUUGUUUCGGAGCGCAGCACAUUUUGCGAUCCAGAUCAACGUACAGCGGCAUCCAAGAAGCCUUAUUUAACGCUCUUGACCUCGGAUCAGGUAGGGAUACCCGCUGAACUUAAGCGUAUCAAUAAGCGGAGGA
RNAcentral lists this unclassified non-coding RNA (339 nucleotides) under soil metagenome. Its description in RNAcentral is "partial contains 5.8S ribosomal RNA, internal transcribed spacer 2, and large subunit ribosomal RNA". The stretch from base 1 to 120 matches the Rfam family "5.8S ribosomal RNA", at positions 35 to 154 of the family's 154-position model. The record is from RNAcentral.